Molecule: non-coding RNA, 31286 nt
Organism: Oryctolagus cuniculus (rabbit)
Lineage: Eukaryota; Metazoa; Chordata; Mammalia; Lagomorpha; Leporidae
Source: RefSeq, a predicted model, not a curated record
UUUUAUUUAAUGAGUACAAAUUUAUUAAGUACAACUUUAGGAAUAUAGUGAUUCUUCCCACCAUUCCCACCCUCCUACCACCACUCCCACCCCACCUCCUCCCCCCUCUCCCAUUCCCAGUCCCAUUCUCCAUUAAGAUUCAUUUUCAGUUAACUUUAUACACAGAAGACGAACUCUAUACUAAGCAAAGAUUUCAACAAAUUUGCACACACACACAUAAAAUAUAAAAACUGAGAAUAAGUUUUACAACUAUGAAAAUUAACUGCAUGGGGAGUAAGUGCACAGUGACUCCUAUUGUUAAUUUAAAAGAUUUAUGUAUUUAUUUGAAAGUCAGAGUUACACAGAGAGAGAUAGAGGUCUUCCAUCUGCUGGUUCACUCCCCAAUUGGCCACCAUGGCUGGAGCUCAGCCGAUCCGAAGCCAGGAGCCAGGAGCUUCUUCCGGAUCUCCCACGGGUGCAGGAGCUCAAGCACUUGGGUCAUCCUUUACUGUUUUCCCAGGCCAUAGCAGAGAGCUGGAUUGGAAGUGGAACAUCCAGGUCUUGUGCCGAUGCCUAUAUGGGAUGACAGCACUUCAGGCCAGGGCAUUAAACUGUUACACCAUAGCACCAGCCUCUCCUGUUGUUAAUUUAACAAUUAAAAUACCUUCUUCUUUGAUGGCCACUUCUUUCCACUGGGGUCUCACUCACAGAGAUCCUUCAUGUAGGAUUUUUUAUUUUUAUUUUAUUUUGUUUUUUAUUUUUUGCCACAGUGUCUUGGCUUUCUAUGCCUGAAAUGCUCUCAUGGGCUUUUCAUCUAGACCAGAAUGCCUUAAGGGCUGAUUCUGAGGUCAUAGUACUAUUUAGAGCGAUUGUCAUUCUAUGAGUCUGCUGUGUGGUCUGCUUCCCAUGUUGGAACAUUCUCUCCUUUUAAAUUCUAUGUAUUGUUAUUGCCAGACACUUGAUCUUAUAUAUAUGAUCCCUUUAACACUUAAUCCUAUCUAUAUGAUGAAUUUAACACUUACUAUGAUCACUUUAACACUUAAGAUGGCAUUAUUACCACCCAGCUUAAUGGGAUUUGGAGUCCCAUGAAGGCAGCAUCUUAAGAGUAGCUGGGUCCCCAAAGGCUCCCCUGGGAGGGGGUUAGAGGGUGUUGGUAUUCUGAUGCUGGAACACUGGCAUUUGAGGUGAAUUCUACAUCAGCAGAAUCAGCGUCAGCAGCAAAAGCGGGGAUGGUAGUGUGAAAAUUCCCAACAGAGAAGAGCAGGAAUGAGAGGAUAAGGGGCCAGAUGUCCAUCUUCUGAUGCCAGCAUAUGUACAAGCUUUCCUAGAAUUUAGAUAUGAUCCCAGGAAAAAAAGAAGUCCUGUGCUUGUAAAAUAACUGAACAUGAAUGAGUUUCCUAGAAGUGGCCGUAGUUUUUAGUAGCAAAGUUAUUGAAGGUCAUGUAGCUAGAGAGUAACGCAGCUAGGAUUCCAGCCCUGGGAGUCUGACUUCACCAUCCAUAGUCCAAACCACCAGGCUGUGCUAUCUGUACAUUCUAUACAUUCUGUAUGUCUCCAUGGUUCCCAUGACCAAAUGGAAUGGUGGCUCAAGAUCUAAGUUAAAUUACAUCAUAGAAAGAAAAAGUGAUUGUGAGAUCCACUCUGGGACUUCCCACACUGAUUUUUUUAAGAUGCAGCAAUAUUAAAAUGUCUUAGACUGUAAGAACUGUGAACCAUAUUGUCUUCUCUCCAUCUUUACCAUCCAGCACCAACCCCUAAUCCCUGCCCUACCUGGGCUGUUGCAAGUGUUUCCAACUUGGAGAGAUUAGACUUUACCUAAGUAAUUAGCAGCAAGAGACCCAGAACCAAUGGAUGGAAGCUUGAAAGGCACAGAAUUCUGUGCAGAAUCAGGGAGGACAUCUGGCAAGUGAAGAUAUUGAAAGACAGAGAUAGCGGAAUUUGGAAUGUGACAUUUCGCCAAGUCAGAAUCUUACUUGCCCAUACAACACAGAUUUUAGGCUUGCUCCAGUGUUUGUAUAAUUGUAUUGUCAGAUCCAAACAGCUAGUGAAGGCUGAGAUAACCACAUGUGUGACAUGGCUCAAACUGCAAGAAGUUUAAAUCGAAUUCUUCACUGUCCAUUGUGACUGGCUCACAGGCAGCAUGCUGCAAUGCUAUGCUGAUGUAACUCUGGCAUGGUGUCAUUCUGGAUCUAUUUUAAGUAACAACUUUUUGUUUUCUUUCUUGGGGUAGUCUUUAAUCUUUAACUAUAAUUCCCCUCUUCUCCCUGCCCCCCAUUACAAAAAUCUGGAAUGACAUUUUUCUAAAUCAAUUAACUGAUGUAAUAUUUACGUGAAUGGAAACAUAUCGGUGCACUGUAUUCCACAUGGUAAAUGAAGAUGAUCCUGCUAACCUCCUAUCAGGAAGGCAUGGAUCCAACUUGGCUUCUUUUCAUUUUCCAAGGGUGGUGGUUUUUAGUUUUCAAAUAUCUAUUUGAUUAAAAAAAACACACACAAACAAAUGUUUACUUUUUUAAUGUAAGUCUACCAGAGCCCUUCAAAGAAUUUAAUAGAGAAAAUAAUAUUUCUUGGGCCAGCACUGUGGCAUAGCAGGUAAAGCCGCUGCAUGCGCCAACAUCCCAUUUGGGUCCCAAUUGUAGUCCCAGCUGCUCCACUUCUGAUUCAGCCCCCUGCUAACGCAACUGGGAAAGCAACAGAAGGUGACCCAAGGGCCCUUGCACCCAUGUGACAGAUCUGGAGGAAGUUCCUGGCUCCUGGAUUCAGAUCGGCCCAGUUCUGGCUGUUGUGGCCAUUUGGGGAGUGAACCAUAGAAUUGAAGAUUCUCUCUCUCUCUCUCUCAACUCUGCCUUUCAAAUAAAUAAAUCUUUUUUAAAAAAUUAUAUUUCACCUUUAAACCCUCUAAGACUUCUAAAGCCUAGAAGAAAGCAGAUACAACCCCCCUUCCCCUAAUCAUAGAUGUCCUUAAUUUAAAUAAAUUUUUUUUCAGAACCAAGUUUUAUGAAUCAUCAUUUUGAUACAAAUAAUUUAAAGGUAGAAGAAUAAGAUAUGAAGUUCAAGCAUGUAGAAAACCAUUUCAUGAUUUUUGCUAAUAGUGCUAACAGAGGCCAAUUUAAAUGAGCUGCUGGGUCAGGAGUGUUAAUAACAUGCCUUCAGAAGUCCAGCUGGUGUUAAUGCUUAGUGUUAGAUAAAGAAGAUGGUAUUUCUCUUAUAUUUCAAUUUUCAGAUCUAGACAUUUUUAGAUGCAUUCUGUUACACAAAUGUCAACCGAGAGCAGUGGUUAAGAAGUUAUGGGACAGUAUCUUUCAGGUGGGGUAGCUCCCCACUUCUAUGGGGGCAGGAUUUACGAUGGCAUAAUCAAGUCCUAUAAGCUUGAGAAAUAUUAGGGCUGAUAUCUCCGCUACUCUGAAAGAGUGGUGCAUGCAGUAUGAGGAGAAGCAGGGCAGGGGAAGUCAUUGCCUCCUGUAAGAUGCCUCUAUUGGGAGCCCAUAUCUUUUCUCUUUGGCUCUGGUUAUAAUGACCUAAGGCUUAGAUUCCAGCCUUUCAAUAAAACCACCAGAUAGAAUACCUUCCAUGUCCCAGUUGCACAGUCCUCUUGUGUUUUUCUGGUGUUUGUAUUCCCAUAGUUGCAAAUAAAAAGUAUAUUUUUAGUUUUAGAAUUUUCCUUUCCAUUAAAAAAAAAUCCCUGAAGAUUUGUGGCACCACUGUUGUUUCUGUUAAUGUCAUUGCUUCCAUAGCAGCAGGCUAAGAUUUUGUAAGAAACUAUGUUUACAAAAACCAAUUAUCUAAGUGAACAUUAUAGCUACACAUAGCAGUUUCAAUUUAGAUUUCCUGUAACCAUUACAACACACACACACACACACACACCUACCUUUUCAAAUUUAUGUAAUAAAUGAAGUAUGAGGGUUUUCCAGAAGGUUCUUGAAAACCAAAUUAAAAGGUAAGUUAAUUUUGGUGCAAAAAAUUUUGGAAAUCCAUUCAUAUUUUUUUCAAAAUACACAUUUUUUUCAUGAACUUUCUGAAAACCCCCUCAUAUAUACAAUGUUAAAGAUUUUUGCAUCAAAGUAAACUUGUCCUUUAAUCCCAUCUUCCACCAGCUUUUUGAAGUGCCCUGGUAUAAGCAUCUAGAUUUCCCUCUCCAUGGAGCUGAGACUCAUUCUUCAGGCUCCUGUAGCAGAAUGAAAGCCCAGGCCACUCAUGUCUUUGGCCUUAGAAGGUGGAGUUUCCCCUGCUUUCUGAUUCCAGAUGGGAGUAGGAGAUAAAAUAAUUGAGUUUGUGCUGACAUUUAAUUCUUAGGGUGGAUUUAAUGAAAAAUUACAGAGAAAACAAGGACAAUAAGUACUCAGUUUUUCAUAGCUUAUUUUGCUAAGCAUAAACUUUAAUAAUGAUGUGCGUAUUCAUUUUAUACCCAGAAGAUUUAUUCCGCUCAACAAUCAGUCAGCAGAAUCGUGUCUUUAAUUUGGAAUAUUUCACAAUUGCUUUACCAUCUUUUAAGUCAGAGAUUUUAGUGACUCUUCUAUGGAGAAAUGAAAAUGUCUGUAUGAAGCAUAAUUUCUAAUUAGAGCUAACUAAAUAUAAAAUGCGAUGUGAAUGCAAUCUAGAGAAAGCACGCCCAAGACCGCACUGCAGGGUUUUUGUCUUCUUAUGAGUAAAGCUGGCCUUGUUGAAUAUUCAAAAGUGCCUUUGCGGUAUCAGUUUUCUCUGAGAAUGGAAUGCCAAAAUCUUCUGAUGGGUACUGCUCCUGCUGCAAAGGUAAAAGCUAACUAGGAAAUAAAAUUAAUUAUUUCUAAAAUAUCUUACAGCCAUACUCUUCGUGAAAUAAUCCACCACCACAACUUCUGACCACAGAACUCUGUAGCCACUGUGCAGAAGUACAAGCAAAAUAAGAGUGCUGGACCACUUCCUCCCUUCCUGCUGAGCGCUUACAGUUGUGUAAAGAACACAGCCCUAAAUCCAAGUAGAUGGAUACAAGUAAAAAGAGGCAAAGUGACACACAUUCAGUGUCAGUGACACUAGAUUUUGUUAGCCUGUCAAGACUUUAUUCUUCCCAGACAUUUUGAGGAAGAGAAGGUUGUAAUUUAGCUUCAGCUACAUCCUGCACAAUAGUGGCGUCAUAAAGUCAAGCAGCAUUGCAGAAAUUAAAAAUUAAUCUCACCAUCCUCGUACUGCAGAAAAGCACCUCCCAUAAAAAUGCCCUACUUCACACUCCCCCCAGAGUCUUUCUCAGACAUUUUAGACAUUUUCCCCAGCUCUUAUAAAAUACAUUUUCCUUAUAUAGAAAAUAACCUCCUAGGUUCCUUAAAAAAAAACUGAAAGAGGAAAAUUGCCCCAACCAACAGAAGUCAAGGGAGUGGAGCCAUCAGAAGCCGCAGGGAGAGGCUGCUCCUGAGAGGAGGUGAGCAAGGCUCCCCACCAUGGACCCUGCACUAGCAGGAGAUGGCCCUCAAGGCAAAGAAAAGGACAACAGGGGUCUCUGCGGAUCCUGAUGGAGCAGGACCCCCUGAGCAUCUCUCUGCCUUGGGGUAGCUUGCAGUUGAUCUGGGAGGUUGGCUAAAGUCAACACACCCCUGCAGCCCCUGCAGUUAUAAGGACAACACAGCUCUCGAUCAUUCAACAAGAAGGAAAUGUACAUAGUUCUGGUCCAUUUACCAAGUGCUGAAUUUAAGAAACAUCUAUUUAAUGCAUAUAACCAACAGGAUACUAAAAUUAUAGUCCUUUUUUUAGGCAGACAUACUGUGUGCCAUAAAUCAGUUGUUAUCAGGAGAUGAUAAAAAAUAAAAAAAAUGAAAUUAACAAAUAGCAAUAAAUUUAAUGAGAAGACUGAACAUAGCUUAGAAACUGGGUAGGACAUUUAUUGUGAAGUAAAAUCAAUAUGACAAAAACACGUUUCCUGCUUUUAAUGCCUUUUACUUAUAAAUAUUAACCAACCGCUCUCCAAAGUUGUUUUAUCACAAAGAAGAAAACUCUUGAAUUUCCAAACUCCUGAAGAUAUAAUAUGGUUGUUUUCUUCCUUAUUUGGUAGAACGCACACAUAUUUUAACACAGUCUUUGUUUGUGUUUAGACACAUCUCUCAUCUACAAGGAUUUAUGCUAUAUGCCACUACAGAAUAUUUUGGUCAAUGUCAAGCCAUAUAUAUAUACACUAUCAUAGUCCCAGAAGAUUACAGUGAAGCUAAAUUCCCAUUAUCUGGAUGUUCACUAUACCCUUUCUGCAUUCAGAUAUGUUGAGAUGCCCACAUACUUAUCACUAUGCCACAUUGGCCUGCAGUACUCAGUACAGUAGCAUGCUGUAUAAAUUUGUAACCUAGGAGCAAUGUGCUAGACCAUGGUGCCUAGGAGUGUAGAAGGCUAGAUAAUCCAUCUAGGCUUGUGUGAGUUCACUAUUCUGUGAUACUUGAACAAUGACAAAAUUGCAUAAGGAUGCGUUUCUCAGAAUGUAUCUUAACGUUUAGGGUGCAUGACUGUACUAAGAACUUCGUACAUAUUUCUAGCUAUGAGAUUGGUAUGGGAUAUCCCCAUCUAUAUUAACAAGGAAACUGAGUCAAAGUUGUACAACAUGUUAAAGUCACACAAUGAGUUAGUGGUGGAGUUAACCCAAGCAGAUUGACUCAGAGUCUGCUUCUUUAGCCUCACCGCUGCUUCUGCUGCAGGACACAGUGCUGGGUUCUGAAAUAAACAAGUGCAUCAGACCCAGUCCGUGGCCUUGGGAAGCUUAUGCUCUCAUAGGGGAGACAUAGCAUAAAUGAGACUCACAUGAAUGUUCAUUGUGAGCAAUGCUCACAGGAGUCGUGGAGCACAGGAUGCUGAGAAAGCAACAGAGGCUAAUCACUUUGCAAGUCUGCUAUCUAAAACCAAGUGAAUAAGGUCAGCCUUCUCUGUGGGCUCUAAACCUGCAGAGUCAACCAACUAUGCAUUGAAAAUAUUAGAAAAAAAUAUUGUGUACAUUUUAGACUGUCUUUGCCAUUAUUUCCUAAGCAAUAGAGUAUAAGGACUAUUUACAUAGCACUUACAUUGUGUUAGAAAUUACAGGUAGUCUAGGGAUGAUUUAAAGUAAAUGGGAGGAUGCACAUAGGUCAUCUGUUAACGCUAUGGCAUUUUACAUAAGGGAGUUGAGCACCCAUCGAUUGUUGGUAUCCACAGGUGUCCUGGAAUCAGUCACCCACAGAUUACUAGAGUGACUGUAUUUGAAAGUGGACAUACUUCGUAAGUACUUCAAAUGUGAAGAUUAGAUAAAGUGGAAGUUGAUAAGAUGUGACUUGAAUUUUUUUUUAAAUUCCCACAGCAAAUUAAUUUCUAUCUUUUUCCUUUCUCAUGGAUUUACGCCUGCUUGUGUCUCAGCCUAACACUAUUGAAUAUUUGAGGCUGAAUAAUUCUUUGUUGGCAUGGGAGACUGCCCUGUGCAUUGUAGGAUGUCUAAUAAUAUCCUGGGCCUGUUUCUAUGAGUAACAACUUCUCCUCCCCACUGUGUGACACCCCAACUUAUCAUUGUGCUAGACAUUAUUGAAUGUCCCUAGAAAGCACUGCUAAGCCACCAGGAACUCAAAUUCUACUUACUUUUUGAAAACCAUUUAUCUUAACUAUUGCUCCUAGCCCAUUCUUAUUUUCCCUUUCUCAGAAAUCUACAGCAACACCACACAGUCCUUGAGGCUCAGUGGUUAGCAUGGUGCAUAUUCAGCCAGCUCCUGCCCCAAGCCUUGGCCUUAGGGAAGGAAAUCAGUGGGCCAUUCAGCUCCUUCCCUGUUACUCUGUGAUGGUAUAAGGUUCCUUUUUUAUUUUCCCCCUCACUCUACCCCCACAAACUCACCCUUCUGGGUCCCUGGGCCCUGAAAUUGUUUGGCUCUUGGCUCAGAGCAGAAGAAGAGAGGAAAGGAAGAGAUAAAGCCAAACAGAGCAGAAGAGGGGACCAGAAGAAAGGUCUGAAUAAGAAGAGCUGCUAAUGAGUUAGGAAACUGUGUUAAGGCCCUGACUUCCAGAUGCGUUUUGAACAAGUGACUGACAAGAUCAUGAAUUCUAAUCUUCUGGUGAAAAUAGUUACAUUGUAGCAUUUCCUUAUAGCUACAUAAGUACUUUAUAGCUAUACCUCAUUCAGGCUUUAAAACUGAAUUAUAAUGAAAUGUGGUGCCCUGCGAUGCAACACUCUUGAAGAGCAAAAGUAAGAGGUGAGUACAGAAAAGCUUGGAGUGGGUCUGUGAGCAGUGAGUUCCUUGAGUGUAGCUACCAUUUAGAUCCAACUUAGAAUCUUUGGCCGGGGAAGUACCUGCACAGAGUACAAAGCAUAGGAAGCAAAGUGUCCACAUGCCCAGCAGAGAACCUGGUUUUGGGAGAUGGCCGCUUAAGAAACAGAAAGACAUUAUGCUGUUUAACCAAGGCAGUCUUCAUCUGCAAAGUCUCUGCUUCCUGUGGGAGAUGAGACAGAGGGGAAAAGAUGGACCCUCAGCGGAACCAUCUCUGCACCGACUUCUUACAAAGCAUGGUCAUCCUGAGCCUCAACAGAUAUCAAAAGAGACCCUAAAAUGGCUACUCUGAACAUAACUGAACUUAUUCCAAGAGAUUUUGCUAUUUUUGCAGUAAAACUACAGAGAAUAUAAACAUCUUUAAUGUGGUAAUGAUUUCGAUGCAGUACUUUUUUUUUUACUUUUAUUUAAUAAAUAUAAAUUUCAAAUGUAAAACUUUGAGAUUAUAGUGGCUUUUCCCCCUAUAACCUCCCUCCCACCCACAACCAUCCCAUCUCUUACUCCCUCUCCCAACCCAUUCUUCAUCAAGAUUCAUUUUCAAUUAUCUUUAUAUACAGAAGAUCAACUUGGUAUAUACCUUUCAGUAAAGAUUUCAAGUUUGCACCCACACAGAUACAUAAAGUAUAAAGUACUGUUCAGUAGUAGUUUUACCAUUAAUCCACAUAGUACAACACAUUAAGGACAGAAAGCCUACCUGGGGAGUAAGUGCACAGUGACUCCCGUUGUUGAUUUAACAAUUGACACUCUUAUUUAUGACGUCAGUAAUCACCCAAGGCUCUCCGACCUUAUUUAGGCAAAGCCAUAAUCAAAGAGGAAGUUCUCUCCUCCCUUCAGAGAAAGGUACCUCCUUCUUUGAUGGCCCAUUCUUUCUGCUGGGAUCUCACUCACAGAGGUCUUUCAUUUAGAUUUGAUUGAUUGAUUUUUUUUUUUUUUUUUUUGCCACAGUGUCUUGGCUUUCCAUGCCUGAGAAACUGUCAUGGGCUUUUUAGCCAGAUCCAAAUGCCUUAAGGGUUGAUUCUGAGGCCAGAGUGCUGUUUAGGGCAUUUGCCAUUCUAUGAGUCUGCUGUAUAUCCCGCUUCCCAUGUUGCAUCAUUCUCUCCUUUUUAAAUCUAUCAGUUAUUAUUAGCAGACUAGUCUUGUUUAUGUGAUCCCUUUGGCUCUUAAUCCUAUCUUUAUGAUAAAUUAUAAACUUAAACUGAUCACUUUGACUAGUAAGAUGGCAUUGGUACAUGCCUCCUUAAUGGGAUUGAUUUAGAAUCCCCUGGCACGUUUCUAGCUCUACCAUUAGGGGUAAGUCUGAGUGAUGCAGUACUGUUUUAUAUAAGUUUAUUUGAGAGAAAGAGAGGGCGGGAAGGAAAGGAGGGAGAGAGAGAGAAACAGAGAGAGACAGAGAGAGAGAGAUUGAGAGAGAGAUCCAUCCACUUGUGUACUCUCCAAAUGCCACAGUGGCUGGGAGUGGGCUGAAGCUAGGAGCUGGGAACUUAGUCUGGGUCUCCCAUGUGGGUGGCAGGAACCCAAUUACUUAAAUCAUCAGUGCUGUCUCCCAGGGUUCGCAUUAGUGGUAAGCUGGAGUCAGGAGUUGGAGCUGGGCAUUGAACCCAGGUCCUCCUAUGUGGGACAAGGACAUCUUAAGCUGUGUUUCAACAACUAGCAUAGAUACCACACUACAGUACUAUUUUAAAUAUAAUUCUAUAUGUUUAGUUGCAUUGUACUCUAUAAAUUAACUCAGAAACAAUUAUUGUGGACUAUUAAAUACCAAUUACAGUGCCAAACUCUGGAGAUUUAAAGUAAAAACAUACUCUGAAGCUGACUUCAAGGAACUGCCAUCUGAUCAAGAAAAAAGGCAAGGAAAUUGACAACCAAAUAUGGGUUCUUUUAGGUUUGAUUGAGAGUUGGGUGGCAUAAUAAGUAAGGGGUAGUUUCUAACUCAAACAUGGAGGUUGGAGAAAGAGAGCAGGUGUCUGAAAAGUUAUUUCUAAGAAGACAUCUGUUACAACCACCAAAAAUUAAAAUACUAUUAAAGUUCAUUGAGACUUUAAACAAGUCUAUCUUGAGAACUCUUAGAGCUUCCCACAUGAAUGAUGAAAGAUGGAGUAUAAUCAAAUAGAAAGUUGGAAAUAGAAAAACAGAUCGUUCAUGAGUGUUUGAAUGUUUGCCACAGUGCUGAACAAAAGAGCAAUAAAAUAUAUGUUUGAUUUUCACCAUUAAGAGAUUUUGCCAAAGUCUAGUAAAAUACUCUUGAUAGCUUGCCUCCUAAAUCCACACACAGGAAAUGCUUCCAUGUUUGCCUACAUUUAAUGCCACUAAGAUGUGUCAUGGCCAGAACAGUCAAACAGGAUUACCUGGACUGGAUCUAGGGGUGAGGGCUUGGGUGUUGGAAUGCUUGUUGCUCUCCUGGUACAGCAGAAAGAGAUCGGAAAGCCUCUAUGCAAGGACCACCGUGCCACAGUAGCUGUGAGAUUUUCAGCAAGUCACUUCACCUUUCAGAAAUUCAGUUUACCUCAUCUUUAAGAUUAUUUAGAUUAUUGUUCUCCAUUGUGGUUCUUGCAAAUUGAGUGAAUGGGACUUCUUGUGCAAUGCUCUCUGAUCAGAUUCUUUUGUUAACUUAAGCAUGGGGCCCAGCGUUUUGGCAUAAUGUGUAAAGCUACUGUCUGCAAUGCCAGCAUCCCGUAUGGGCACUGGUUUGUGUCCUGGCUGCUCUACUUCAGAUCCAAUUCCCUGCUGAUGUCCUGGGAAAAUCAGCAGAAGAUGGCCCAAGUGCUUAUACCCCUUUCACCCAUGUUGGGGCCCAGAGGAUGCUCCUGGCUCCUGGAUCCUGGCUUUGUCCUGGUCCAGCCCUGGUCAUUGCAGCCACCUGGGGAGUGAACCAGCAUAUGCAAGAUAUGUUUCUCUGUCUGUCUGUCUCUCUCCCUCUUUCUCUUUAUUUCUCUUCUCUAUCUUUCCCUCUUUCUUUGUAACUUGUUCAAAUAAAUAAAAUCUUAAAUAAAACUUAAGUGUGAUUGCAAAGUAUGUGUUGAGGAUAAAUGCAAGUCCCUCCUGUGCCUUUCCACCUGCUGAUCCCACCCAAACCCUCCUCACUGUGAUCAGAAUGAUCUUUAUGAAACACAUUGGUCAUGCACUCCACUUUAGAUAGAUUACCUUCAGUGCCUACUCAUAAAUAACCAGAUGAACACGGCAUCUUGGUAUGAAGUCCUUUCUGUGCUGGAUCUGCUCUACCCACCACCCAGGCUGCUCUCCUGGGCCUCCUACACACCUGUGCUCCUGCAGCUCCGUGUGCUUGCUCUCUAUUUCUCCUCCUUGUCUCUCCAUAUCAUAUUGGAAUACCAGUGCUUCCACCUUACCCCACCACCUCCUCCAACUGGUUCUUCAGCAUUUGACUCAGCUCUUAAGCUUUUCCUAUGUGCUUGGGGCAUGUACUGAUCUAUCUCACCUCAGAAAAUCCAUCACCCUAUACAACCACUGUCCAUUUGCUUGUCCAUCUUCCUCAUUGACUGGGGAUUCAAUGAGGGCAGAUUAGAUACUAAAUAUCCCUUGGCUCACCCUAUGGCUGGAAUAUGGUAAGUGCUCAGGAAAUUGAAUUCUGUUGAAUGAAUGAAUUUAUCAAUCAUCAGCUGAUUCAUAAUUGGCCAAUAAGCAUGCCACAUGGUGAAAUAGAAAACAAAAAUGUUAUGGCUAUGAUGACAUAAUGUGAAAUCUUCCUUUUCAAAAAAAUUUCCACUCCAAAAUGUAAAAGGUAUUGGUUACUUGUGAACCCUGAUACUCAUGAUGUCACAAAAUAGUGUUUUGUAGUAGAGACUGUUGCUUGCUUAACUCAGUGUUCUCUCCCUCCCAUAUCCAGAACAAUAGACUCUUAUGUUUAAUUGAAUAUAUGGCCAUAGGAAAUAAAACAACACUACCAAUAAUUUUUUUCCCAGUGCUCCUUGCAGCUGGAUGUGCCAAAGGUCUGUGCUCCAUCAGAUAAAAUAUAGGUGGAAGUGUUUUGUGGAAGCAUUUCUACUUUUUCACUUGAUUAGAGUCCCUGCAAUGAUUUUAAAACACAAGAUGACCUAGAGAUGAGAGCCAUGUGCUGGGAGUCAAAGCAAAAAGAUAGGAGAAGUUAGUUCUCUGUUGGCACCAUGAAUCCUGUGCUCCAUCCCCAGACUUCGUUACAUGGGAGAGAAGUAAAUUAACACCCCAAGGCAGCAGUUAGCAAACUUUUUCCAUGAAAGGCCAGAUAAUAAAUAUUUUAGACUUUGUAGACCACAGAGUGUCUGUCACAACCGCUUGGAUCUGCUGUUCCCGUGCAAAAGCAGCCGUAGACAGUACAUAAACAAAUGAGUGACUGUGCUCGGAUAAAAUUUUAACUACAAAAACAGGUGGCAAACUGGAUUUGUCUGUACUUUGCUGAUCCCUGCUGUAAGGCACUUUAAUUUUUGAAUCUUUCCGAUAUAUGUACCUAUAUCUAACCCUACUAAUACAUCCUAUCUGGUGAGAUGAAACUUUUAAUUUGGAAGGACCGUCCAAACUCGACUUUUUUUAAAACAUUUUUUUCCCUUUGGUAAACUCUUUGUCCCUUACCUUAUCCUGGUUGGAAUUACACAAAGUCCUGAUAUUUCUGUCUCCAGACUCUUUUGAUUAUUAAGACCAGCCGAAUCAGAUCCAGGGCUUUUCUAGGUUUCUCAGUUCCAUUAUGUUCAUUUUGGAGGAUUCCAGCAGAAUAUAAAUGGGACAGUCACCAGGUGUGUGGACAGGCAGAACAGAGGACAAAAGACAAGGCCUGUAAGAACUGAAUGAAGAACACGGUGCUGAGAGCUCCUGAAAUGUGUUUGAAUUAUGUGACAAAACUUUCAGGCUGCCUAAAUGCUAGCUUAUUGUACUCUGUUACCAGGGAGACUGUACAAGCUGAAUUGAUGUUUAGCAGCAGGACAAGAGCUGGUCUUGGAGAUUCUUUUCAGCAAAGACUUUGACUGAUGCUGUUAGAAUGUCUUAGUUUUUCUGGUUUAACUUGUCCUGUGAACACAGAACAAUAUAGUACAGACCAGCAAUGGCAAAUUGAUUUCCCCUUACAUGGAAACACCAACUGAUGGACAGCAGCUGUCUGGAGCUCUUUAUUGAGAAGGUUUCUGUGGCUGCAUCUGGAUGUUAAGAGAAGUCGUUUGUUCUUCCCUACCAGUGUCUUCCCAGGAGUGUGGUGGGCAGGGGAGGGAAGAGAGCUCAGAUCAGUCACCACUCUUGGUAGACCUCAAGCAACAUGACAACUAGAAGGGAGCCUGGAGUAGUCCACUUCUCCUCACUAGAACUGGAUAUCUGAAACGGGCUACUUAUGAAGGUGGGGGGCUUAUUUUGCCUCACAGUUUUGGAGGUUUACAGUCCAAGAUCAGCUGGGCCCCAUUGGUCUGGCAGUCUGGUGAGGCUUGAGGAUGGCCCAUGGAGGAACACGUGGGCAGGAAGAAUCACCUGGUGUGCCAGGAAACAGGGAGUAUGGCUGGGCUCAACUUGGCUUUGAAACCAACACUCUUAAGAACUCCCUAGGCCGGUGCUGCGGCUCACUAGGCUAAUCCUCCACCUUGCGGUUCCGGCACACCGGGUUCUAGUCCCAGUAGGGGCGCCAGAUUCUGUCCCAGUUGCCCCUCUUCCAGGCCAGCUCUCUGCUGUGGCCUGGGAGUGCAGUGGAGGAUGGCCCAAGUGCUUGGGCCCUGCACCCCAUGGGAGACCAGGAAAAGCACCUGGCUCCUGCCUUCGGAUCAGCGCGGUGUGCCGGCCGCAGUGCGCUGGCCGCGGCGGCCAUUGGAGGGUGAACCAAUGGCAAAGGAAGACCUUUCUCUCUGUCUCUCUCUCUCACUGUUCACUCUGCCUGUCAAAAAAGAAAAAAAAACUCCCUAAUGAGGGCACACCCCACUGAUCUCAGGAUCUCCCUGGGCUCACUUCCUAAACACCAAAAAUGGAUCCAAUUUCUACCCUUGUAGGACUUUGAGGUUUAAAGUCCUAUAUGAGUUUGGGAACCAAAUUAUGACCAAAAUAUAGCAGAGUCAUAUUUUCAAUAGUCUUUAAUCUGGUUCUUUUAUUUUUGGCUAUAUUUAAGGGUUAUAAAUGUCAAGUAACUCAUGCAGGGUUAUAUGUCUAGUUAAUAGCGAAACCACUAUUAGAAAUCAACAGUGACUUUUCCAUUACAUAGUAUUAUAGUAUAUAAUUGAAAUAUUGUAGACUUUUUAUUAUUUUUUCAUAAUUUAUUUCUAACAUAAAGAACUUGAACCAGCUUGUAAGAACCUUGCUUGAUUCCCACAACCAAACUUCUAAUGCACUUGCUAAAAGCCAGAUCAUUUUCCAAGCCACAUGAUUCAGACUGUUUAAUUCUGUAAGCCCCAAUAUCCUUCCAAUAAUUGCUUUUUUGUUGUUGAGUUAAUGAUUUUCAAAGUCAGCUUCUAUUGCCUGAUAUCAAGAACUACAGUUGACUUGUGUGUGGAGUAAUGCACUGUUAUGGAAGUGGCUCUGUUAAAAAGCGAGCUGUAGCUAUCAUGCUUGCUCUGUCUUGCCAUGUGAUGUCCUGUGCCUGUUAAGACGCAGCAGGGAGGUCCUCACCAAUUGCCAGCUCUGUGCUCUUGGAAUUCCCAGCCUCCAGAACCAUUAGCCAAAUAAAUCUCUAUUCUUUCCAAAUAUCCUAAUCUGUGGUAUGGAUUGAUAUCCUAACCUCUAGUAUUCCAUUAUAACAACACAACAUGAUUGAUAUGCUAUGUAAAUAGAUCUCAGGGAGUCGAUUUUAGGAAGUAGAUUCCAGGGGAAAUAUGGAGUGUUGGAAACUGAUUAUCUAACCUAGAUUAAGUAGAAUGCAAGGACACCCUAUUUUUAAUACCCAGAGCUGCUAACAGCUCAUGGCACCCAGUGGAGAAUCAGGUAAUUAAAGGUACCUUGUUCAUGUGGUGUCAGCUGCAUCAAGGAUGCGGUUAGGGAUGAUCACUGCCAUAGAAGAACAGGAUGGUUGUCAGUGACUCAAGGACCCUGAAGUGGGAUGGUGGCACUGCAGAGCUUAAAGAAAUAGAAUGACAAGCUCAAGUCCACACAUGAUUGAUUCAAGGCAAAAGAAAAACCAGGGGCCAGUGCUGUGACAUAGCCAGUAAAGCCACCACCUGCAGUUCUGGCAUCCCAUAUGGGCACUGGUUUGAGUCCUGCCUGUUGCACUUCCACUCCAGCUCUCCGCUAAGGCCUGGGAAAGCAGCAGAUGGCCAAAGUUCUUGGACCCCUGCACCUCUGUGGGAAACCUGGAGGAAGCUGCAGGCUCUUGGCUUCAGAUUGACCCAGAUAUGGCCAUUGCAGCUAUUUGGGGGAGUGAACCAGGGAAUGGAAGACCUCUCUCACUUUCUCUCUGCCUCUGCCUCUCUGUAACUCUGCCUUUCAAAUAAAUAAAUAAAUCUUUUUAAAAAAAUAAAAACCAAAUAAUUCUCAGUGGUCAUUCACAAAGACUCUUAACCUGAAAACCGGCACCGUGGCUCAAUAGGCUAAUCCUCCACCUGUGGCGCCAGCACCCUGGGUUCUAGUCCCGGUCAGGGCGCCAGAUUCUGUCCCAGUUGUUCCUCUUCCAGUCCAGCUCUCUGCUGUGGCCCGGGAGUGCAGUGGAGGAUGGCCCAGGUGCUUGGGCCCUGCACCCGCAUGGGAGACCAGGAGAAGCACCUGUCUCCUGGCUUCGGAUCAGCAAGGUGUGCUGGCUGCAGCACGCCAGCUGCAGCGGCCAUUGAGGGGUGAACCAACGGUAAAGGAAGACUUUUCUCUCUGUCUCUCUCUCUCUCUCACUGUCCACUCUGCCUGUCCAAAAAAAAAAAAAAAAAAAAAGAAAGAAAGAAAAGAAAAAAAAUACAGAACAAGACAAAAAACCUUACAACAUUCACUCUUGUGGGUUUUUGAGUCAGUGUUCGCUAACUCAUGGUAUUUUCAGGUCUUCUGGAAGGAGGAGGGCCAAGUGAGUAGGAACAGUUUUGGGGAGACUCAGAUUACUGGAAGUUCCCUCCCACAGUGGGCUUCCAGUGCCUGUGGAUUUGGCAAUGCCUGCCUCCCUGUGGCCUGGCCUCACCUCCCUCACUGCCCCAUUAUCUGCGGAGGCUCCUCUCCAGAGAGAGCCAGAUUCCCAUCUUGGUUAGGAUGCCAGAACGGCACUUUUUCUUCAAUCCUCAGCUUUGGGGGUGAAUUGUUGCCCUAUUAAAAGAUGUUUUCAGCAAACAUCAGUAGAUCCUCAUGUUCUUUUGAACCACUAAAUCAGAUGUCUCUGUGCCUCUGUUUUAUUCUUGUUUUUCAUCAUAAUCAUUUUUAGGUGAUAGAAUUUCUUAGAUUCUUGCUUCAGAGUGACCUUUAUUUAUGUGAGAUCCUGAAGACCUCCAUGAGUGAGCUUGCAUGAAUCUGUGGUUUACAGCAUUCAUAAUUUCUCAUCUAAAAUAAAAGUUUAUUGAGUUAACAAAUCACGAGAAUUAAUUACCAAAUAUGUGCAACUAAAAGCGAUAUUUCAGCAUUCAACAGUCCAUUUUAUUAACACACAAGAUAAUUAUUUAAAAUGUUAUGAUUCAGAAGUCAUUUUGAAGUUCAUAGCUUCAAGAUCUCUAUUAUAGCACUAAAUUAUGACUCAAUGUCAGGGAGGGACUAUUUUGGAACUUCGUUUUUUAAACUUAUAAAAGUUUCAAUUAGAAAAGUUAGAAAAAUAAAUUUCUAAAAGCAGCCUUUAAAUUAUAGAAGUUCUUAAGUGUAGUUGUUACUUUCCUCAUUAAAUUUCAUCUCCAUUCCAUCUCUGCUUUAUUGUUCCCUGGUUAUUGUCUUGUGUUUAUUAUCGCUCUUUAUUUGAAAGGUAAUAUAACCACAGUACAGUUAAAGAAAGAAAAAGAAAAUGUGACCCUUUCUUCCAUCAUUAUUCUAAUUUUGAUUUCUUUACUUGGGAACUUUCCAUGUUUCCUACCCCCACCAGAAACAUUGUGGUAAACAUAAUUAUUGUGUUUAGUUAAAAAAAAAAAAAACAUUUCAAAAAUUUUACUCAAGAAGUAGAGAGAAAAGGAGAUAGAGAGAUUUCCCAUUCUGUUUCACUCCCCAGAUGUGCUCAAUGGCUGUGGCUGGGCCAGAGCCAAAGAAGCGAGUUGAGUACUCAAUCCAGAUCUCUCAUGUGGCAGGAACCCAAGUAUUUGAGACAUCACCAUGCCUCCCAGUGUCCACAUUCACAGGAAGCCGGGGAACAGAAUGGAGAAUCAACCUGUUCACUCUCAUGUAGGACACAGUUGUGAUACCUGCUUGGCUUAACACCCACUCCUGUGUGUUCAAUUUUUUCAAUUUACUAUAUGAUACACAUUUUACUCUUUUAGUGUCUCCAAAGCCUCUUAAUCCAUGGUUUCAUAAUAUUGCAAACAAUACAGACAUUAACUUGUGACAAUGAGCUAUAGAGAGAUGGGACUCUGCCUUAUCAUACACAGCUCUUGGUAGGCAUUCAGUUAUCAUUCAUUGGAUUCAUCCAAAAUUCCUUUCUCUUUUAAACAGUAUUUCAGCAAAUGUCUUUAUGGACAUAGCUUUUCCCACAUUUUCAGUUAUUUGAGAUAGAUUUCCAUAAGAGGGAUUACUGGCAUGUGGUACGGCCAUGUUUGUGGCCCCGCAUGUAUUUCCAGAAUGCUUUCCAGAAGGGUUCUGAGGAUACACAACCCCGCCGUGCAUGACAUCACCAGUUCCCCUACAGCCCUGGGUGCGCUCAUGCAGUAGAAGGAAGUACAGUCACUCAUUGCUAUUUUAAUGUGACCCUUUUCUCCUUUACGUUGCUCAUUGCCUCUUUUGGUGAAUGUACUGGCUUUUCUUUAGCAAAGUGAGAGACCUCCACAGAGUGAAGAUACUCGAAGGCAUUGACUGCUCAUGUUGUCCUCACUUGCCAUUUGUUUUUCCCUCUAGUUGGGGUGUGGGGUUUUGGAGGAAUACUUUUAAACUUAUUUUUGAAAAGAAACUGCUCAGCCUUCUUCUGAGUGUACCUUGAACUCUCAAAAUUUGCAGUCUGUCACCUGCUUUAGCUUCCAGCAUUAACUGAGCAAGGGAGGGCAGUUUAUCUGCUACUGCUGUCAACUAAUCCAGGAAACAUCUGAGAUCCUUUUACCACAUUCUAGUCAGUCCAUGGCCUAAAGUACCACAGGUUCUCCACUGUUACCAUUCAUUUCCAAAUGGGAAAUUUGCCUUAGAUCCAAAUCUCCCGACCAACUUCUUAUCCCUGAUACAGUAAUUUAAUGUGUCUUUACAAAUCCCGGCAGAUUUCCUUCUGACUCUAACCUCAUUUCUCUGUUUUGAAGCAGCCAGGUGGAACCUCCUCUCCUCUACUCCCCUUCCCUCCCAUCCCCAAGAACUUGAAUAUAAACAGAACUUAAACUAUUCCCACCUUCUAAGGUGGUGAUUCCUACGGAAGAGUGUUCUUCUCAGCAUUUUGCAAAUAGUGUCUUUCAUUGUCUCCCUAAACCUCUGCUGUUGUCCAGUGCCUGAUUCUGUAGCUUCCUCUUUUACCAGUUUUCAUCUUCACUUUUCUCUCUGGCAGAGAAGAAUAAUCAAACAUUUUUUAUAAUCCUUUCAGAAAUGGCUGCUUUAAUCCUGUUCUCUGCAACUUCACUCCUAGGCCCUGACUAAGACAGCUUUUGGCUCCGAGGAAACCUCUGUGAACUGUACGACUGUGAAAACAGAUCCUAUAUUUGUUGUUCAAAACUAAUUAAAUAGAAUAGAUUUCAAAACAUCGGAGCUCAUCAGAGCCUCACAACUCAAAUACAUGGUUUUAUGAAAGGGAAUGCAUACUGGUCUUGUAGAGUUGCCCAGAAGCAACUUCCGCGACUACAAAGAUCAGAAUAGGGGUCUUUAUGUGGCAACCCAUGUGGAGAGUUACUAAAUCCUAAAUCAGGAGAUAGGCCCUAGUUCUAGGUUUGUCCUGGUCAAUAAAUGACCUGGAGGAGUUUUUGAGGUCCAGUUUGAGGCCUAGCUUCCUUAUCUAUAAAACUGGAGUAAGUUACUGAUUUUCAAAUGAUGGCAUUAUUUUUAGCAAUGCAACUCAGUUUUACAGUGAAAAAUAAAACAGAAAAUAGAUGCCUGUAGCACUCUUUCAGUUGAAAUAAUGGCCAGAGACCUGGAGUCCCACACCCUUUAUCUCCUGUAACUUUCCAUUUCUCAGAGCUGUAGAGGCUGACCCUAGGAGCCCUCAGACUACGCCCUUAUUCUGAUGUGAUCAUUGAUACACAGACAGACCGAAUGCUUUCCCAGCUCUAAAAUCCUGUACUUUUCAGGGGUUAAAAUAUAGGUCAUUCUAGGUUUAGAUUGAGUAAAGUUAGAUCAAGAAAGGAGCAUGGGGACUUGUCCUUGUGGCAAAGCCUGGCAUUUGGGGGUUUCAGAGGGUGGAGAAGCAACGGCCUCUGUGUGCUUGACCUCACUAGGGCAGCCAUAUGUCAUGGAAUUUUCGGAAUAUGAGUAAUGGCUCAAUUGUUCCUUUUGGGGAGCACUUCCUUCCUUCCUCUGCUAUAGAUCUUCCCACAUUACCUCCUUUAAUCCUCACCACCAACCUCAUUUUGAAUUCCUUACCCAAAUCCCAGUCCAGCUCGGGGUGGGAGCAGUCAGGUUAGGGACCGUUGCUGUUGCUUCUGCCAAGGCUUCUCAAAGCUGGCCCUUUCUUUUAUUUUAGGUUCCAACUUGUAUGCUACCUUCUACAAACAGUCUUUGACUACCCUAACUAAAGAUGUUGAGACUAUCCUGUCUUAUUUAAUUCACAGCAUUGGGUACUAUCUGCAUAAAUAUGUAGUUUGUUAGUUCAAUAUAUGUUCACUUGUACGUAUAUAUUUUCUGAAUUCCUCUGCAUGCACUGAAAUGUGAACUCAUGGGGAGUAGAGACGUUGGAGGUCUUGUCCUUUGCCGGACACCCUGAGAAGUGUCUUUCUGUAGCAAAAUAUGUCCAUAGUGAAUGCUUCAUUCUGGCGAAUGGAUGAAUGAGCAGGAGAGAUGGCUGAUAUCGUCUCCAUCAUACAGAUGAAGAAGCCAAGGCUUAGAGAAAUUUGAUUGUCAACUCUAAGUCACAUCACCAAUAAGCAACAGAUCCCAAAUUCAAUCUUGAGUUUAACCAAAAAGCAACUCUUAACUCCUGUGCAGGCUGUGCUGGUGGAACCAUUUCCUACCCAUGUGCAUCUGCGAGAGCACUAAUAAGGUAACGAUUUCAGUGGUGAUGGAAACUGUGACACCAUUAAUUGCUUACGCUGUGUGUGUUUACUGGAUCUCUGCUUGACAGCCAGCAGAGUACCUACCCCUCAGCUAGCAGCGCAUUCACUGUUGCAGACCUUUUUUUUGUUCACAGUUCUUUCUUAUCUUGAGCCAAAAUCUGCUAUCAAGCAUCUUGCACUCACCCAUCUCAGUUUUUCCCUCUCUAGCGAAGCAGAGUGAACUCUUCCUAUGCUUCCAGCUGGGAGAAGAAGUGGAUGGCAGUAGGGCAGACCUGUCUGGUUAUCUCUAGUUUCUCAUGAAUAUGCAAAUCCCUAGUAAGGUCAGCAUCCCCAGGCAGGUAAAAUACAAGGUGGUUUACUUGCCUUGGCUGUUUUAAUGAGUAUUGUGUUGUUUAAUCUUAAUUAAUAGUGAUAUUCCUUUUCUUAGCUAGUUUAUAAGUACAUCUAUUAAGGAAAUUGGGCCCUCAUUACUGACUUUGAGUGAUUAGUUUUAUCUAGACAAGCUGUCAAGAGAUUUUCAUUCUGUAUCCAUUCCUACCCUCCACACUCCCAACCUGAAUGUGAUAAAGACUGAUAAGGCAAUGAGCUCCUGGCAACCAAGGACCAGUAUGAACCUGUUUAAUUCUUUUCUUUCCGGUCUUUGACUCCAGCUGUUGGCCUUUGAGAGCAGUUUUUGUCCUAGCUCCACCAUGAGCCUUCUGGUCUCCACUCUAGCGCUCACCCCUGAGAAUAUUGUCUGUAUUUAAAUCUUGUGUAGCCCUUAACUUUUAUCAAAACCUCAAUGUUUUUUUGUUCAACACACAAAGAAACAUAUGAUAAUUGCAGCUAAUGUUUUGUAUGCUCAUGAGCCAAAAACUAUUCAAAUUCCCUUCGUGGAUUAGCACAUUUAAUAGAUAAUAGCAGGUCUUAGGAAAAUAGAAUAAACCUUUUUUUUCAUUUCAUGUAUUUUAAAAAUUUUCCCAUAAUUUGCACUUCCUGCUGUAUUCUCUGUUCCUCAAUGAUAUGACUGAUUAGAUGCAGUAGUUCACGUAAAGUGCUUAAAACAGUGUCUGGCGUAUAGAUUUGGGAUUCAAGAAGUGUUAGCUGCUCUCAUUACCAUAUUUCUCUCUGGGUGCUGAGCAGAGUCAGUAUUUUUGGAUCUAGACUCACAGUGGAGCAUGCAAUUUUCUUGCUUAAUUGAACACACUGUACUACAGUAGAUGGAAUGAUAAGGUACAAAUAGCAACAUGCCACAGCGCCAGAGAUCUGGAAUCAGGCUUCAUCGUUGCCAUUUAAAAGGUUAUGAAAACUCUAGAAAGCUCCUCACUCCUGAGAGCUUUAAUUUCUCAUUUGUACAUGAACUGUGGAACUUGAUGAUCUCUAAGACCCCUUGUCUGCAGUGUACCUUCCUCAUGUUAGCCCAGUUUCUAUUGCUAUAACUGAAUGCCACGGACUAUGCAACUUAUUAAAAAAAAUACAGAGAUUGAUUUAGCUCAUGGGUUUGGAGGCUGGAGAAUUCAAGAGUUUGUCAUUGGCAUUUGGUGAGGGCCUUGUUGCCCAUUGUAAUGGUGAGACAGCCAGCGUGUCACCUCUGUUCUCUCUUCCUCUUCUCCUGAAGUCACUGAUGCCAUCAUGGGACUCCAUCCUAACAAUCGUAUCAAAUCCUAAUUAAUCCCCAAAAGCUCCAUCUUCAAAUAAGAAGACAUGACCGAUCUUGAGUCUAAGUUUCCAACACAUGCAUUCUGUUGCACACCUCAUCCCAUAGCAUCCUUCCACACAGUUCUCUGACAAAAUAUGAAUUUCACCACAAUGAAGAUUACAUUUCUGCUGUCUUGGUAUGUUAGAGGCCCACAUCACCGGAGUGCAGGGUGCUUUAGGAAAUGCUUAGUGAGGAAGACAGAAAAGGACACUCUUCUCUUUGAAAAAAAGACAUUGACUUAUUUGAAAGACAGAGUGGCAGAGAGAGCACGAAAGAUCUUUCAUCCUCUUGUUCGCUUCCCAAAUGCUAGCAGCUGCCAGGUCUGGGGGCCAGGCCAAAGCCUCGUUUCCAAUAUAGAUGUCAGGAGCCCAGGUACUUACUUGGGACAUCUUCUGCUUACUUCCCAGGGACGUUAGCAAGAAGCUGGAUUGGAAGAGGAGCAGCUGAACCAGCACUCUGACAUGGGAUGAUGGCAUUACAAGCAGAGGCUUAAUCCGCUUAAUCCACUCUGCCACAGUGCUGGCCCCAAGGACUCCCUUCUAGCUGCUCCUCCAGCUAUCAGCAACCAAAUGCCCACAACAGCCAGUGCUGGACCAGGACAAAGCCAAGAACCUGGAAACUCAACCUGAGUCUCCUCCUUUGUGGGUGGCAGGGACUCAGUUGGGCCUUCGCCUGUUGCCUCCCAAGUACACAGUAGCAGACAGCUGCAACUGAAAGUAGAGCUGAGACCCUAGCACAGACAUUCUGAUAUGGGAAUUGGGUCUUAACUAUUGUGCCAAACCCUCCUUUUCUCCCUCCCAAGACUGUGAAUUUUAUCCCAGCUCCAGUACUCUUACUACCUGGUUCUGUAGCAAAAUCACAUUGACCUUCUCUGAGCCUUAUUUUUCUCAUUUGUCAAACUAGAGAGGGGAUUACAACAAUUUUCUUCUGAGUUUAAAACUCACCACUACGGAGUUCUUUAUGUGAGAACAAUACUUGUAUGAAGUCCUAUCGACAGAAGAGCAUUUUGUCUCUCCUUCCUCCUUUCUUUGCCAAAUGUAAUGUGAAUUGGUGUGGAAAAAAAGUAUUCUGCUGUGAAAAGGUUCAUUCAGCCUUUUCUUAAUAGAUGGAGUGGUUGGUAUUUCUGCUGGCUUCUGAAGUACAUUACAAGUCACAAUCUGGAAAAAGUUCCAAGGCAGCGCCAAGGCUUCCUGCUGGAUUUGGAUACAUCUUUAGGUCUUACUCUGCAGCUCAUCCUUAACAACUGACAAAAUAUUUACUUUGCUCGGUACAGAAAAGGGUAACAUUUUCCAAAAUAUUAAACUAGGUUGGAUUCAGAACACAGACAAUGAGGCAAAAAGUUGGACCUCUGUCCUUAGCCAUGUUGUUGAAUCAUUUUCCAGAGUGCCAUGAGAAACCGAACUUUGGUAGAUGUUUGUGCUCCAGGGUAAUUCUGAAAAAGGCAGAAGCCAGUCAGCCUCUGGGUAGCACACCCACUGGUGUGCGGAUCAGCAGUUCUCAAAGUGUGGUCCCCAGACCAGCAGCGUUGGCAUCUCCCAGCCACUAGUUAGAGGUACAAAGUCUCACAACCUCCCAGACCCAUGGAACCAGAAAGUGUCAAGUUGUAUCCCAGCACUCUCUGCUUUCAUGAGUCCAGCAGGUAAACAAACCCAUUUCUGAUGCUGCUAAAAUUCAAGAACCUCUGGUGUAGGCCCAUGAAGGCUGCAGGUGCUCGUUAUCUUUCCAUUGAAAGAGUCAGGCAGUGAAAGACUGGUAACUAAACUUCUCAUUAAUAAAUUAGUAUUUUAAGUCUGUGCAUGUUCUUUUUUAAAAAAGAUUUAUUUGUUUUUUGAGAUACAGAGUUAGAGAGAGAGGAGACACAGAGAUUUUUCCAUCCACAGGUGCACUCCCCAAAUGACCACAACAGCUGGGGCAGGACAAGGCUGAAGCCAAGAGCCAGGAGCUUCUUCUGAGUCUCCCACAUGGGUACAGGGGCCGAAGGACUUGGGCUAUCCUCUGCUACUUUCCCAGGCACAUUAGCAGGGCGCUGAAUCAGAAGUAGGGCAGCCAGGACUCAAACCUGCACCCUUAUGGGAUGCUGGCACUGCUGGCUGUAAUUUAACCUGCUGCAUCAUAGCACUGGCCCCAGUCUUUUCAUGUUCAAUACAGAGCUUAAGUAAUAUUUUAGAUCAUUGUUGAUUGAACUUGUGGAUAUGGGACCUGUACAUAAGGAGGGUUUUCUGUGUUGUUUAGAAUAGUGCAUCUAUGCGUGCUUUUGUGUAUAAGGGAGAAAGGAAUAUAAGACAUGGGUAACUGUCAAAUUGCUUCAUUGCCUCAAUGGGUCAGCACUGUGAUUUCUGACUUAUGUUAUACCUCAUAAAGUUUCUUUUAAUGAAGACAAUUUUUAUUAUUUUUAUAAUGUAAAUCAAUUUGAAAGUUGGUGGGGGGGGGCUGGCGCCUUGGUUCACUAGGCUAAUCCUCCUCCGCCUGUGGCGCCGGCACUCCAGGUUCCAGUCCCAGUCGGGGUGCCGGAUUCUGUCCCUGUUGCUCCUCUUCCAGUCCAGCUCUCUGCUGUUGCCCAGGAGUGCAGUGGAGGAUGGCUCAGGUCAUUGGGCCCUGCACCCGCAUGGGAGACCAGGAGGAAACACCUGGCUCCUGGCUUCAGAUCGGCGCAGCGCACCAGCCGGCUGGCUGUAGCGGCCACUUGGGGGGUGAACCAAUGGAAAAAGGAGGACCUUUCUCUCUGUCUCUCUCUCUCUCUCUCACUGUCUAACUCUGCCUGUCAAAAAAAAAAAAAAAAAAAAAAAAGAAAGUUGGGGUAUUGCUUUUUGAAAUACUGCUCUCUCCCCACCCCAUUGCCUCCUCCUCAUGCUCAAGGCACUGAUGUUUGAGUUAUACACAGGGUGUUCAGAAAGUUCAUGGCAAAUGUGUAUUAUGAAAAAAAAAAUCUACAUGGAUAUCAAAUUCUUAGCACCAAAAUAAAUGUAUCUUUUAAUUCCAUUUUUUCAAACUUUUUGAAGUUCCCUGGUAUCUGCAUUUGGGAUAAUAAAAACAGUGCAAUUUUGUUUCAUUGGAGGUAGCUAGUAAUUUUGAUAAAAAACUGAUUGCACUUUAGAAAAGCUCUCUUUUGAUCUGAGAGUGGAAAAAGUGGACAAAAAUUGAGUGACUACAACUUAUCAUUUUCAUUUAAUUUUUCAUAGAUUGUGAAUUAUUUUAAAUUAAACUAGUAGAAAUUAGUCACCAGCUUCGAGAAGUGAUUACCAUUUUAAUAAUUUUAAUCUUUCUAAAAUUGGAACUAAUUUCCAUAGGAAAUUCAGAUCACCCUUGUACCAUCUCCUGCUCCUCCCUCACAUGGCGUGGCUGCCCCUCCUCAUUUGUGUCACCUGACUGGCCACUGCAGGCAUCUGCGCUGUGACCUUUGUUCUGUGGUCUCAUGCUUGGCCAUGUCAUUGUGUCCCAGGGUUUCUACUCUUGCAUCUGUUCAUUUGGAAGAUACACAAUUCUGUAGCAAGAGUGUGAUUUCCCUCCUGAGUUCCAGCCAGUAUCUCCAACUGCUUCCAUGUCCUUCCAGUACCUUAGAGACCACAUAUCCAAACCAGAGCUAAUCUUUCCCCCCUGCUUUUAAUCAUUCUGACAUCUCUAUCUCUUUAAUGAAUUCCUUCUGUUCUUUGCCCUCUGUAACCUACCCUUAAGUCAGGGGCCGGAAACCAGGUACAGUAGAAAGUCCACAGGUUUGGACUGCAAUGAUCUGUGCUCACAUCCAGUCCCUGUCUGCUACUGGUGCCGUUAGGCAACUCAUUUCUCAGACCUUCAGCUUCUUCAUGGGUAAACUGGAGGAUUGUCUUGAGGAGGAAAAGGGGAAAAGUAUAUCAAACAUGCUUGUGUAAUGCGUUAUCCAAGCCAGAAUACAUCCAGGGUGAAGGUGGCCAUUCUGAGUAAUUAUUCCAUGACAACCAAAAAAACAUAAACUUAGACUGGCAAGCCAAGCAGCAUGGGUGCUCCUCCUGUGCACAAGGGGACUCCAUAAAGUUCUUGGAAUGUCUGUAUUAGUAAAAAAAAAAAAUCUAUGCAUGAAUUUCUGAAAUAUUUGCACCAAAACAGCAAAUUCCAUUGUUCUGUGAACUCUUUGAAGGACUCUGGUGAGUCACAUGUAGCAGGCCCUUUGCCACCCUGCCUGCCAUAGCCCUGUGUGUCUCCAUGCUUGUGUUCCCCCACCCCCACAGCUGUUCUCAGUCUCUUCACUGAGACCACAGCUAUGCUCUCCUGGCCUUCCACCUUCCUCUUUAAUAUAUUCUGUGUACUGCUGCCAGAUCAGGCUCCUGAAACCACAUCAUUUAGACCACUCGUUGCCUCAAGACCCUUCAGCAACGCCCCACUUAGUGAAGUUACCCCUCCCCAGCAUGGCAUUUAAAAUACGUCCGGUUUCACUUCAGUAGAUUUUCUUUCAGACUUGAAUCCAAGCGCUGUCCUUUAUCUGCACUGCGUUUUUGGCAAACUUGGCCUCUUCCACAGCUGCCUUGUCUUCCCUAGUGCCUUGCUUGUGCUGGCCUCCCUGACUGAUGGAGCUUUCUGCCUCCACCUGUUGAACUCCAGUGUUUUUUACACUGAAGGUUGGCCUCUUCCAAAAACCUGUCCUGUCCUGUCCUGUCCUGUCCAGUGAGAAGCUCUCCCGUUUCUUCCCUAAAUUCCCAAGCAAUUCUUCCUUUAUAUUCGAGGGUACUUGGCACUCUCUGUUUCACAUUGUGGUUAAUCAGAUUUGUAUCUUAGAUACCCCACACAGAAGGGAAGUGGGAGGCAGAGAAUACAUCUGGUUCAUGUCGCUUUGCUUCAGAUCUCUCUCACAUAGAAGCUCAGCAAAUAUUUGUUGACUGAAUACCUGACAGUGAAAGUCACUUUUGAUCUGCCAGUGAUUAAACACUGCUGUUGCCUCCUCAAGUAAUCAAACAUUUCUAAAUAAUAUGGCAAGUCUUCUCCUUGAUUUUGCUUCUUUUAAAUUAAAAGAUUAAAACCAUUAAUCAGGGGCCAGCAUUGUGGUGUAGUUGGUAAAGCUACCACCUGUGACAGCAGCAUCCCUUAUGAACAUCAGUCUGUGUCCUGGCUGUUCCAAUUCCCAUCCAGAUCUCUGCUAAUGGCCUGGGAAAAACAGUGGCAGAUAAUCCAAGUAUUUGGGCUGCUGCUACCCACAACCCACAUGGGAAACCUGGAAGAAGCUCCUGGCUCCUAGCUUGGCCUUGCCCAGCCGUGACCCUUGCGGCCGUCUGGGGAGGGAACCAGUGGAUGGAAAACCUCUUGUUCUAUCUCUCCCUCUCUCUUUGUAACUCUGACUUUCAAGUAAAUAAAUGAAGCAUUAAAAAAACAUUAAUCAGUACUAUAAACCAGUUGAAUUAUGAGCAAAACCAUUAAGUUGGUGAGAGUGUAUAGUUUUAAAACUGUACACAACUUUUUGCUCCAUUUUCAUGUUGAUGAUAUGCACCUGCUGGCCCAAAAAGAGAAGUUUAUUUAAUAAUAUGGAAAAAAAGUCAAAAACAGAUUUUAUAUCUGUGUAUAAUAGAGAUUUGGUAUCUGUAUGCAAUUAGGAAAUACCUAACAAUUGAUCUCUUAGACUGCCUCUCCCCAAACUCUGAAAUGUACGAGGUAGGGAUGGGCAGUUCGUGCAGUGGUUAAGAUGCCACUUGAGAUAUGCACAUCUCAUAUCUAAAUGCCUAGGUUUGAGUCCCAUCCCUGAACCCUUCUUGUUCUCUGCUUCUGAACACCCUAGGAGGCAGCAGGCAAUGGCUCCAGUAUUUGGGUCUCUGCCAUGAUUUGGGAGACCUUGAUGAAGUUCCUGGCUCCUGGUUUUGGCUUGCCAUAACCCUAGCUAUUGCAGGCAUUCAGGGAGUGAGGCAGCAGAUAGGUGAUCUCAGUCUGUCUCUGUCUUUCUACCUUUCACAUUCAUAAAAUGUGUUAGAAUUUUUUUAAUGUGUGAGGCAAUUUUGUCUUUUUCCUUGCUUUUAUUUCAGUAUGAGAAACAAGUUUAUAAAUAAUUUAAGGUAAUGUGAUUCUACUGUGUUCUUUUGUAUAUUUGGUUUCACAACUGCUAUAUGGUCAAUAAAACAUACAGAUUUUUACUAAGAGGACAUCUGUGGUUAAGGGAGUGGUUUUUAUCAAUUAAAGAAAUUGGUUUCAGAUCUCUUUAAAGAGAAAGCUACUUGUUUAUAAUCAUUCAGAACUGCUGGUAAACCUUGGGUAGUGGCAAUGGCAAGGAACCAAUGGCUGCCAUUUUCUGACUUUGCCUGUUUUGACACUGAUCCACUUGUUUGAUUUACAGAAGUGUUGUAGUGUAGUGAAGUCACAUCUUUUCAAUAUUGUCUUAAAAAUGACUGUUCUGGGGGCAUGCAUUUGUUCUAACAGUGAAGAUGUCCCCAUCCCAGAUCCCAGUGCCUUGACUUGGAUUCCAGCUCCAGCACCCAAUUCCAGCUUCCUGCUGAUGUGCAUCCUGGGAGGCAGUAAGCGAUGGCUCCAGUUACUGAGUUCCUGCCACCUGUGGGGAAGACCUGGAUUGAAUUCCUAGCUCCUGCCUCUGGCCUGGCCCAUUACUGGCUGUUGGUGAAUAAGCCAGAGGAUGGGAAUUCUCUCUGACUCUGUCUCUUUGUGUGUGUCUCAGAGAGAGAGAGAGAGAGAGAGAGAGAGAGAAGAGAGAGAGAGAGAGAAAGCACUCUAGGUCCCCGUCUCUUUAACUUUUUAAUUUAAGGGAUUUUUUUUCAUUGCAUUAAAUAAUUGCUCAAGUAAUUCUGUUAACUGCUGUGAAUAUUUUUAUCCAUGACUAUUAUCUCAGUGUGGGUUUUUAGAAGUGAAAAUAUAGGCAAUUAACUUUUAUUGAAUUUGAAAUGCUUAGGUCUCAGAAUUAGCAUAAUUUUAUGAAAAUUAUAUAGAGACUGUUAAACUUAGGUGGUCAUUAAAAAAUUAAUAGAGUUACCAGGGGAUAGUUAGUUCACAUCCUAUCUCAGGGGGUGCUGGGAUGUCAGGCAGGUCACCAGGCAUCUUAUUUCCAUAGUUAACCUAAUGCCUUACAGAAAGAUAAUUCUCUAUUGGAACUUCUGUUAUUGAAUUAAUUAAAACUCUUUUUUAAAAACAGUUUUAUUUAUUUAUUUGAAAGUCAGAGUUGCAGAGACAGAGAUCUCCAUCCACUGGUUCACUCUGUGGAUGGUUGCAAUGGCCAGGGCUGGGCCAAGCCAAACCCAAAGCCAGGAGCCAGGAGCUUCUUUCAGGUCUCUUAUGUGGGUAGCAGGGGCCCAAGCACUUGGAUCAUCUUCUGUUGCUUUCCCCAGGCUAUUAGCAGGGAGCUUGUUGGAAAUGGAACAGCCAGGACAUGAAAUGGCACCCAUAUGGGAUGCCAGCAUUGCAGGUAGUGGCUUUACCUGCUACACUGCUAUGCUGGCCCUAAUUAAAACUCUUGGAUAAAAAUAAAAGAUUUCUCAGAAGUAAGAAGGCUGUCCUGGAAAAAAAGAAUUUUACCUGUAUUGUUACUUGAUUUAUCAAGAAAGAUGCCUAGGCUGGCGCCGCGGCUCACUAGGCUAAUCCUCCACCUUGCGGCGCCGGCACACCGGGUUCUAGUCCCAGUCGGGGCGUCGGAUUCUGUCCCGGUUGCCCCUCUUCCAGGCCAGCUCUCUGCUGUGGCCAGGGAGUGCAGUGGAGGAUGGCCCAAGUGCUUGGGCCCUGCACCCCAUGGGAGACCAGGAGAAGUACCUGGCUCCUGCCAUCGGAUCAGCGUGGUGUGCCGGCUGCAGCGCGCGGGCUGUGGUGGCCAUUGGAGGGUGAACCAACGGCAAAAGGAAGACCUUUCUCUCUCUCUCUCUCACUGUCCACUCUGCCUGUCAAAAAAAAAAAAAAAGAUGCCUAUUCAAUCCUUGUUGUGCAGUAAGUACAAGGAUGAAGUGUUGAAGAAACAGCAGGAAAUAACCAAGAGCAGCACCUGCAUCUCAUGGUGAGGAGUGGUCCUAGCUGUACCAGUACCUCUCCUCAUGCCCCUUGUUCACCCGUAUUUGGCCCAGUUGGCAUGAAAGAGGAAGGUUUUAGAAAGCAAGAGUGAGACUCUGGCCCCAGAAUCAGCCCUAAAGCCAUUCGGAUCUGGCUGAAAAGCCCAUGAGAGUAUUUCAGGCAUGGAAAGCCAAGACACUCUGGCAAAAAACAAAAAACAAAAACAAAAACAAAAAAAAACAAAAACACACACACACACACCUAAAUGAAAGAUCUCUGUGAGUGAGAUCCCAGUGGAAAGAACAGGUCUUCAAAGAAGGAGGUACCUUUCUCUGAAGGGAGGAGAGAACUUCCACUUUGACUAUGACCUUGUCUAAAUAAGAUAAGAGUCAGUGAACUCAAAAGGCUUCCAUAGCCUUGGAAACUCAUUGUGGGGAGCAACUCGGACUAGACUAAGUUACUGGAAUUAAGACUUAUUCUAUGCAUCUGCUCUCCCACAAUAUGGCGCUGGGAGAGGAGUAAACAGCUUCUACCCAGCUGCCUCUCACCAACUUGACAAGCUGCAGGAGCUGCUCCUGAUUGGAGGAGAGCAGCGUACUUGGCGUGUGGGUAGCAGAGUUGGGAUUGGUGGAAGAGGACUAUAAAGGAGGAGAGAGACAACAUGUACCAGGAACACCUGAGGAACAUCUGAGCAGCCCCCGAGAGAGCCGGCCAGUGGUGUGCUGCUCCCCCGCGGAAGUGGGGAAAGUGGCAGGGGGAACCGCCCUUCCAUGGAGGUGGAAGGGUCGGUAGCCAACCCGGGAAGAACCAGCAGCAAACCCGGGAAGGGCCGAGCAGACGAAAGAACAGCGCAGGGUCCUGUGUCGUUCCUCCGUGAAGAGGGGGAGUGACACUCAUGACUGGAGCAUAGGGAGAUUACUGAUGCCAUAAACAGGAGUGUCAGUUUGUAAAGUCAACAACAGGAGUCACUGUGCACUUACUCCUCAUGCAGGAUCUCUGUCCUUAAUGUGCUGUACAUUGAGAUUUAAUGCUAUAACGAGUACUCAAACAGUAUUUUUCACUUUAUGUUUCUGUGUGGGGUACAAACUGUUGAAAUCUUUACUUAAUGCGUACUAAACUGAUCUUCUGUAUAUAAAGAAAAUUGAAAAUGAAUCUUGAUAUGAAUGGAAGGGGGGAGAGAGCAGGAAAGGGGAGGGUUGCGGGUGGGAGGGAAGUCAUUGAGGGGUGGGGGGAAGCCAAUGUAAUCCAUAAGCUGUACUUUGGAAAUCUAUAUUCAUUAAAUAAAAGUUAAAAAAAAAAAAAAAA